UCAGCCCAUUGCGGUCUCUCUGCCUUCGU
This 29-nucleotide non-coding RNA is filed under the name Homo sapiens (human). Lineage: Eukaryota; Metazoa; Chordata; Mammalia; Primates; Hominidae. The record is from RNAcentral.